AAUAUUGGACAAUGGGGGCAACCCUGUUCCAGCCAUGCCGCGGGAGUGAAGAAGGCCCUCGGGUUGUAAAGCUCUUUUGUUGGGGAAGAAAAGCAUUCGGUUAAUACCCGGGUGUCCUGACGGUACCCAAAGAAUAAGCACCGGCUCACUUCCUGCCAGCAGCCGCGGUAAUACGAAGGGUGCAAGCGUUACUCGGAAUUACUGGGCGUAACGCGUGCGUAGGUGGUUGUUUAAGUCUGAUGUGAAAGCCCUGGGCUCAACCUGGGAAUGGCAUUGGAAACUGGGCAGCUAGAGUGCGGUAGAGGGUAGUGGAAUUCCCGGUGUAGCAGUGAAAUGCGUAGAGAUCGGGAGGAACAUCUGUGGCGAAGGCGACUGCCUGGACCAGCACUGACACUGAGGCACGAAAGCGUGGGGAGCAAACAGG
This 424-nucleotide ribosomal RNA is filed under the name uncultured bacterium. RNAcentral describes it as "partial 16S ribosomal RNA". It matches the Rfam family "Bacterial small subunit ribosomal RNA", at positions 360 to 776 of the family's 1533-position model. The record is from RNAcentral.